AUGGCGGAUCCAGUCACCAUUGGUGCUACUGUAGGAUGGGGUGUGUCCGCUGUAGGUUGGCUCGUCUCGCCCAUCAUUUCUAGACUCCUUAACAAAGCUUUCGCCCACCUCGACUUCGAUGCAACGGAGAAGAUGAAUAUACUUGAUAUGCAACUUUUACAACUGCAGCGGGUGACGGAAGUAGUCGACGACAGCACUUACAGGGUUCGCUUGGAGCCACUGUUAGACAAGCUCCGAUCUGCUGUCUACGAAGCCGAAGACAUCUUGGAUGCUCUUGAAUAUCAGCGUCUCGAGAAACAGAUCCAAGAUGCCAACUCAGCCAGCAGUAAGAUGGAUUCGCUGAAGAAGACUCUUCGGUCUGCCAUGCCGAGAUCCCUACUAAAAGAUAAGAUAGAUGGCUCGUGCUGUUGUUCCGUUGAAUUUUAA
RNAcentral lists this ribosomal RNA (426 nucleotides) under Triticum aestivum (bread wheat). Its description in RNAcentral is "partial small subunit ribosomal RNA". The record is from RNAcentral. Lineage: Eukaryota; Viridiplantae; Streptophyta; Magnoliopsida; Poales; Poaceae.